GACGAACGCUGGCGGCGUGCUUAACACAUGCAAGUCGAACGGAAAGGCCCUGCUUUUGUGGGGUGCUCGAGUGGCGAACGGGUGAGUAACACGUGAGUAACCUGCCCUUGACUUUGGGAUAACUUCAGGAAACUGGGGCUAAUACCGGAUAGGAGCUCCUGCUGCAUGGUGGGGGUUGGAAAGUUUCGGCGGUUGGGGAUGGACUCGCGGCUUAUCAGCUUGUUGGUGGGGUAGUGGCUUACCAAGGCUUUGACGGGUAGCCGGCCUGAGAGGGUGACCGGCCGGAUUGGGACUGAGCUACGGGCCAGACUCCUACAGGAGGGAGCAGUGGGGAAUAUUGCACAAUGGGCGGAAGCCUGAUGCAGCAACGCCGCGUGCGGGAUGACGGCCUUCGGGUUGUAAACCGCUUUCGCCUGUGACGAAGCGUGAGUGACGGUAAUGGGUAAAGAAGCACCGGCUAACUACGUG
RNAcentral lists this ribosomal RNA (468 nucleotides) under uncultured bacterium. RNAcentral describes it as "partial 16S ribosomal RNA". It matches the Rfam family "Bacterial small subunit ribosomal RNA", at positions 28 to 507 of the family's 1533-position model. The record is from RNAcentral.